RNAcentral lists this ribosomal RNA (510 nucleotides) under uncultured bacterium. RNAcentral's name for it is "partial 16S ribosomal RNA". It matches the Rfam family "Bacterial small subunit ribosomal RNA", at positions 28 to 507 of the family's 1533-position model. The record is from RNAcentral.
GACGAACGCUGGCGGCGUGCUUAACACAUGCAAGUCGAACGAAGAGCGAUGGAAGCUUGCUUCUAUCAAUCUUAGUGGCGAACGGGUGAGUAACGCGUAAUCAACCUGCCCUUCAGAGGGGGACAACAGUUGGAAACGACUGCUAAUACCGCAUACGAUCUAAUCUCGGCAUCGAGGAUAGAUGAAAGGUGGCCUCUACAUGUAAGCUAUCACUGAAGGAGGGGAUUGCGUCUGAUUAGCUAGUUGGAGGGGUAACGGCCCACCAAGGCGAUGAUCAGUAGCCGGUCUGAGAGGAUAAACGGCCACAUUGGGACUGAGACACGGCCCAGACUCCUACGGGAGGCAGCAGUGGGGAAUCUUCCGCAAUGGACGAAAGUCUGACGGAGCAACGCCGCGUGAGUGAUGACGGCCUUCGGGUUGUAAAGCUCUGUUAAUCGGGACGAAAGGCCUUCUUGCGAAUAGUGAGAAGGAUUGACGGUACCGGAAGAGAAAGCCACGGCUAACUACGUG